Molecule: long non-coding RNA, 927 nt
Organism: Cavia porcellus (domestic guinea pig)
Lineage: Eukaryota; Metazoa; Chordata; Mammalia; Rodentia; Caviidae
Exons: 3
Source: RefSeq, a predicted model, not a curated record
GGUUUCUGCUUGCUGUUUACAGCCACCAUGAACUGCAGCCCAGCCAGGUCCACCUGUCUUGGAGCCCAAUGAGCAUAGACUGAAACCUGCAAAAACUGUGUAUAAGAUUCAGUUUGUUGGAAUUAUGAAUGAAUCUAACUUAAGAACUUCCUCCUGGAAGUAUCUUGGUCCAGAUGAAGUGGAAUAAACUACAUUAUAUGUAAAUGUGUCUUAAGAUUCAGUGAAGGAAGAGCUGAGAAAACCCCUGAUUUUCCUCUCAUCUCAGAAACUGAUUGUUGUUGGAACCAUAUAAAAUUCUUAUUCAGGGAGAUGUAGUCAAAGAAAACAAAAGAAACAUACAGUAUGAGAACACAGCAAGAAGACCACUAUCUGCCAGCAGAGAGAGAAGCCUCAAAACCAACCAAACUUGCUGAUUGUUUAAUCGACUCAACCUGUUUCAUUUAUAGUCAAAAGUUGCAAUAGGCAUAAGUGUACCAAAGAUGUCAACAUUUUAAACCCAUGAGACACAAUUCACAGCCUCUGGAAGAUACAUAUAUCCCUGAACAGAUAACCAGCAAAAGAAAUAUGCUUUCAGUUACAGAACCACUAAAAAGAAAAUAAAAUUUUUCAACAUCCAAACAAAGAGAAGACAAUUGUCCUCUGGAGCUUCCAAAAAGAUGACAGCAUUUCCGAUACCAUAGUGUCCCCCAUGCCACAGUGAUUCCUGUGUCAGACUUCUGAUCAAAAGGCUUUUGAGGAAACUAAUUUGUAUUGAUUUACAUUGGAAAGCAAAUUUGUUAUAGCAGUAAUGGGAAAAACAAUAAAAAGUUAUACUUUAUCUUGUAUCUGCAGAAUUUGGGUUCAGAAUAAUUAUGGUGGGGAAUGUUCUGAAAGCUAUAAGCUUUCUGUAGUUUUUCUGUGUUUAAAAAUAAACUCAACUGGCAUUUU